This 959-nucleotide long non-coding RNA is filed under the name Marmota monax (woodchuck). Lineage: Eukaryota; Metazoa; Chordata; Mammalia; Rodentia; Sciuridae. The record is from RNAcentral.
GCUUCAGUUACAUGAAAAGAAAAGUCCUUCCAAACAAGGAUCUCAGAUAGUCCAGUGCAGGACUGCAAUACGAAAAUCAUCUACCAUGGUAGUUAAGAACACAGACUUUGAAGCCAAACCUAGUUUUAAAUUCUUGCUCUGCCACUUCCUGCCUAUGAAAUCUUAAACAAGUUAUAUAAUCUUUCUGAACCUCUAUUCCUCAUUUUUAAAGUAGAUAAUAGUAACUCCCUCAGAGUGUUUAUGUAAUGCUCAUAAAGCACAGAGCACACUUAGCACCUAGUAAGCUCCCCUUAAAUGUACAUUUUUGUUACCAUUAUUACGUGUUAAAACAGGGCAGCUUCAAGACAUGAUUUCCAUCUUUUUUGUCAUCUUAGUCUCCCCCACUACACCUUUUUUUCUUCCUUUAACUUUUAUUUCAUUUCCCCUACUUCCCACCUAAACUAGGACAUCAAGGAAAGAAAAAUGUCCUAAGUACCCUAUAUGCUUUGCAGCCACAGAAGCCUAUCCAACCUCACUUUAUAGCACCCCUGUUCUAUUACAGUUCAGUAAUGAACAGAAGAGCAUCUGUCACUGUUUCCUGAAAACCUGCAUCCCAGUGCCACUUCUUUCUUGUGCUCCAGUGAGACAGAUUGGCCCAGCAGCUGCACAGGAAGCUGAGGUGGAGAUAAAGCACAGAGUAGUCCCAUGGUAGAAUCCUUCCAGAUUGGAGGUUCCUUUGGGAUCAUGUUACCACCUGCAACAAAGGUAGAGGAGAAUUGCUAAGAGCUACAGCUGGAUUAUUGCAGUUGCUCAUCAUCAUCAUAAUUUCUAUUACUGCUAAUAAUAAAAGCAAUCCCUUAUAUUUGCAGAGGGCUUUACAGUUACCAAAGUCUUUUGGUAACUGUACAUGAUCAGUAGAUCAUGUAUAUGACCAGUAGAUCAGUUUUAAGUUCUUCCUCUGAAGACUCAUCAGAAAUGUG